This 425-nucleotide ribosomal RNA is filed under the name uncultured bacterium. Its description in RNAcentral is "partial 16S ribosomal RNA". It matches the Rfam family "Bacterial small subunit ribosomal RNA", at positions 354 to 796 of the family's 1533-position model. The record is from RNAcentral.
GUUAGGAAUAUUGGACAAUGGGCGCAAGCCUGAUCCAGCCAUGCCGCGUGAGUGAUGAAGGCCUUCGGGUUGUAAAGCUCUUUAGUCCACGAAUAUAAUGACUGUAGUGGAAGAAUAAGCCCCGGCUAACUUCGUGCCAGCAGCUGCGGUAAUACGAAGGGGGCGAGCGUUAUUCGGAAUCACUGGGCGUAAAGCGUGCGGAGGCUGUGUGGUAAGUCAGAAGUGAAAGCCCAGAGCUUAGCCCUGGAAUUGCAUUUGAAACUACAAGACUCGAAUUCGGGAGAGGAUAGCGGAAUUGUCAGUGUAGCAGUGAAAUGCGUAGAUAUUGACAGGAACACCAGUGGCGCAAGCGGCUAUCUGGACCGAUAUUGACGCUGAGGCACGAAAGCGUGGGGAGCAAACAGGAUUAGAAACCCCUGUAGUCC